AUUGUUUUUUCUUUUUUUUUUAAUUUUUGUUCUUUUUCUUUUUUGUUCUUUUUUAAAUUUUUGUUCUUUUUUCUUCUUUUUUUUCUUCUUUUUUUGUUCUUUUCCCUUUGUUCGUUUUUUUUUUCUUUUUUGUUCUUUGUUUUGUUUGUUGACGUCUUCAACUGUCCAAAACCCAAAGAUGUUUAUUUUAACAGCAGAGAACACUCAGGUACAUCACAGGUGUCUCAGGUGUGUCUCAGGUGUGUCUCAGGCGUGUCUCAGGUGUAUCUCAGGUGUGUUACAGGUGUGUCUCAGGUGUGUCUCAGGCGUAUCUCAGGCGUGUCUCAGGUGUAUCUCAGGCGUGUCUCAGGUGUGUCUCAGAUGUGUUACAGGUGUGUUACAGGCGUGUCUCAGGUGUAUCUCAGGUGUAUCUCAGGUGUGUUACAGAUGUGUCUCAGGUGUGUUACAGGUGUGUCUCGGGUGUGUUACAGACGUGCCUCAGGUGUGUUACAGGCGUGUCUCAGGUGUAUCUCAGGUGUAUCUCAGGUGUGUUACAGGCGUGUCUCAGGUGUAUCUCAGGUGUGUCUCAGGUGUGUUACAGGCGUGUCUCAGGUGUAUCUCAGGUGUGUUACAGGAGUGUCUCAGGUGUAUCUCAGGUGUGUUACAGGUGUGGCUCAGGUGUAUCUCAGGUGUAUCUCAGGUGUGUUACAGGCGUGUCUGAGGUGUGUUAUAGGCGUGUCUCAGGUGUAUCUCGGGUGUAUCUCAGGUGUGUUACAGGUGUGUUACAGGUGUGUCUCAGGUGUAUCUCGGGUGUAUCUCAGGUGUGUUACAGGUGUGUCUCAGGUGUGGCUCAGGUGUAUCUCAGGUGUGUUACAGGUGUGUUACAGAUGUAUCUCAGGUGUGGCUCAGGUGUAUCUCAGGUGUGUUACAGGUGUGGCUCAGGUGUGUCUCAGAUAUAUCUCAGGUGUGUUACAGGUG
Molecule: long non-coding RNA, 957 nt
Organism: Epinephelus fuscoguttatus (brown-marbled grouper)
Lineage: Eukaryota; Metazoa; Chordata; Actinopteri; Perciformes; Serranidae
Exons: 5
Source: RefSeq, a predicted model, not a curated record